This 476-nucleotide unclassified non-coding RNA is filed under the name Malbranchea umbrina. Its description in RNAcentral is "Auxarthron umbrinum sequence contains 18S rRNA gene, ITS1, 5.8S rRNA gene, ITS2, 28S rRNA gene". The stretch from base 180 to 333 matches the Rfam family "5.8S ribosomal RNA". Lineage: Eukaryota; Fungi; Ascomycota; Eurotiomycetes; Onygenales; Malbrancheaceae. The record is from RNAcentral.
GAUCAUUAAAGCGUUGAACCUGCGCCUCUGGGCGUAGGUAAAACCCCACCCGUGACUACUACACCACAUGUUGCUUUGGCGGGCCCGCCUCUGGCUGCCGGGGUCUCCCUGGAUAGCGCCCGCCAGAGAUACACUGAACUUCUGUGAAACUGGACGUCUGAGUUGAUAUCAAUCAUUAAAACUUUCAACAAUGGAUCUCUUGGUUCCGGCAUCGAUGAAGAACGCAGCGAAAUGCGAUAAGUAAUGUGAAUUGCAGAAUUCCGUGAAUCAUCGAAUCUUUGAACGCACAUUGCGCCCUCUGGUAUUCCGGAGGGCAUGCCUGUCCGAGCGUCAUUGCAACCUUCAAGCGCGGCUUGUGUGUUGGGCCUCGUCCCCUGUGGACGGGCCUCAAAGGCAGUGGCGGCGUCCGUUUUGGUGCCCGAGCGUAUGGGAAUUCUAUACCGCUUCAAGGCCCGGCGGCGCUGGUCAAGACCAAU